GGAUGAAGAACGUAGUAAAAUGCGAUACUUGGUGUGAAUUGCAGAAUCCCGUGAACCAUCGAGUUUUUGAACGCAAGUUGCGCCCGAAGCCUUUUGGCCGAGGGCACGUCUGCCUGGGCGUCACGCAUCGCGUCGCCCCCCACAAUUCUCCGUAAAAGGAACAUGUGUUUUGGGGGCGGAUAUUGGUCUCCCGUGCUCAUGGCGUGGUUGGCCGAAAUAGGAGUCCUUUCGAUGGACGCACGAACUAGUGGUGGUCGUAAAAACCCUCGUCUUUUGUUUCGUGCUGUUGCUCGCAGGGUAAACUCUUUAAAAACCCCAAUGUGUCGUCUCUUGACGACGCUUCGACCGCGACCCCAGGUCAGGCGGGACUACCCGCUGAGUUUAAGCAUAUCAAUAAGCGGAGGA
RNAcentral lists this unclassified non-coding RNA (405 nucleotides) under soil metagenome. RNAcentral describes it as "partial contains 5.8S ribosomal RNA, internal transcribed spacer 2, and large subunit ribosomal RNA". The stretch from base 2 to 123 matches the Rfam family "5.8S ribosomal RNA", at positions 35 to 154 of the family's 154-position model. The record is from RNAcentral.